This is a long non-coding RNA of Carassius auratus (goldfish), 1195 nucleotides long. RefSeq lists it as uncharacterized. Lineage: Eukaryota; Metazoa; Chordata; Actinopteri; Cypriniformes; Cyprinidae. The transcript has 3 exons. The record is from RefSeq and is a predicted model, not a curated record.
UCGUGUUUUGAAAGCAGCUCGUCAAACCGGCUUCUCCACCGGCAUUCCGUGACUGACUGACUGACUGACUCAUCUGAUAAAGCUCACCUCACUCCAACCCAGCCGCUGCUUGCUUAGUACAUGACUUCCAAACUCGGAAUUUAAAUAAUCUGUGAAGAAUUGAUCAUCAGUAACGAAAGUUCCAUAUAAAGCAACUAGGUGUAUAGUUCGGCAGUGUAUUGAAGAAUACCCUGGUAUUAUCGUGCUUGAGGGAUGUAAUGUGAGGUUAAAGUUCCCUUCCAAAAUGUAAAAGCGUGACCACUGUGUAGUCACAAUUAACCAGCAUCAUGAGUUUGGAGAGCGCGUCGGCCCUGUUCAUGCCGGUGUUGUUCCUGCUGGCUCUGGUCUUGGUUCUGUUCUCGUGCGUCCUCCGUAAGAGGCAGAAGAUGGAGCGAUCAUACCAGCCCGGUGCGGAGGAACGCAAACAGGCCAGGAACCACAGAGCCGAGAGACCCGGGCUCGCUCUCCCGCUGCCCAAAGAGGAGAGACUGAUCUGAACGAUGCUGAAAGCCCACCACAGAACUUUCAUUGUAACUUAAUAUUGAUAUUUAUGUGGAGUCCACACACGUGUGCAGUCCUGACAACCAAGUGAAGGAUCAUGGAUGGAGAACCUAUGAAGUGGUGGUGGGUAUUCAUCUGACAUUUUUGAAAGAAUGGCGAGAAUGCUUUCACUUCACAAUGCACUGCUAAUGCUGACAAAUCCAUUCAAGUAUGCAUGAAGAGGUUUUGCUAUCACACUUGGGAUCACACUUGGGAUAACUGAAGACAAUAGGAAGUGCAUUCAUCAAAAAUAAAAUAGAAGCCAGAAUGGUUUACAAGGAGAGCCAAAGUUUGACUUCACCUGUACUUUGUUUACUCACCUGAGAGUCUUUAUGAAGGAGCCACAUGGCAGCUUUACCUCCAAAAUAGUUUACCAUUGUAAUACUGAAUACUUUAAAUGACUUAAAUGUGAAUGUUAUGGUGCAGGUAAUUUAUUUUGUUUAUUUUUAGUUUUUUUGGAGAGAAAAAUAUAUAUACUGCACAAAUGUUGUUUUGUAUUAGAUUAGCAUUUCUGUAAUAUCUGUAACACAUCCAUAUUUUUUGAUCCUAACGUGAUGAAGUGACUGUGUAUGAUUAAUUAAAAUGCAUCUGUGAGUAAACAACCUUGUCCUCAGUU